GACGAACGCUGGCGGCGUGCUUAACACAUGCAAGUCGAACGGAAAGGCCCUGCUUUUGUGGGGUGCUCGAGUGGCGAACGGGUGAGUAACCCGUGAGUAACCUGCCCUUGACUUUGGGAUAACUUCAGGAAACUGGGGCUAAUACCGGAUAGGAGCUCCUGCUGCAGGGGGGGGGUGGGAAAGUUUCGGCGGCUGGGGAUGGACUCGCGGCUUAUCGGCUUGUUGGUGGGGUAGUGGCUUACCAAGGCUUUGACGGGUAGCCGGCCUGAGAGGGUGACCGGCCACAUUGGGACUGAGAUACGGCCCAGACUCCUACGGGAGGCAGCAGUGGGGAAUAUUGCACAAUGGGCGGAAGCCUGAUGCAGCAACGCCGCGUGCGGGAUGACGGCCUUCGGGUUGUAAACCGCUUUCGCCUGUGACGAAGCGUGAGUGACGGUAAUGGGUAAAGAAGCACCGGCUAACUACGUG
Molecule: ribosomal RNA, 468 nt
Filed under: uncultured bacterium
Lineage: Bacteria
Description: partial 16S ribosomal RNA
Rfam family: Bacterial small subunit ribosomal RNA
Source: RNAcentral